Molecule: ribosomal RNA, 253 nt
Filed under: uncultured bacterium
Lineage: Bacteria
Description: partial 16S ribosomal RNA
Rfam family: Bacterial small subunit ribosomal RNA
Source: RNAcentral
CACGUAGGGCGCAAGCGUUGUCCGGAUUUAUUGGGCGUAAAGAGCGUGUAGGCGGCUAUACAGGUCCGUUGUGAAAACUGGAGGCUUAACCUCCAGACGUCGAUGGAAACCGUAUGGCUAGAGUCCGGAAGAGGAGAGUGGAAUUCCUGGUGUAGCGGUGAAAUGCGCAGAUAUCAGGAAGAACACCCGUGGCGAAGGCGGCUCUCUGGGACGGUACUGACGCUGAGACGCGAAAGCGUGGGGAGCGAACAGG